AUGGAUUAAUUUUUCUGCGUCAUUUUUGGACAGAAAAUUUCUGAUUUUUGCAAUGUUACGUAGAUGGAAAAAAGCUGUCCUUGAAACAGUCUUGAUAUGUUCUUCAAAAGAACAUAGUAGUGGUACCACCUCUACUAUCACUACUACUACUACUACUACUACUACUACCACUACCACCACCACCACUACUACUAGUACUACUACUGCUAGUAGUGGUAGUAGUGGUGGUAGUAGUGGUUGUAGUACUAGUAGUGGUGGUAGUAGUAGUAGUAGUAGUAGUAGUAGUAGUGGUACCACCACUACUAUCACUACUACUAACACUACCAGUACUACCACUACUAUUACUGCUACUACCACCACUACUACAACUACUGCAAGUACUACUACUACCACUACUAUCACUACAACUACUACUAUCACUACCACCACUACUACUACCACCACUACUACCAGUACUACCACUACUAUUACUGCUACUACCACCACUACUACUAGUACUACAACUACUGCAAGUACUACUACUACUACUAUCACUACCACCACUACUAUUUCUACUACUACCACCACCACCACUACCACCACCACUACUGCCACUACUACUACCACUACUACUACUGCUAGUACUACUACUACCACCACUACUACUACUACUACUACCACCACCACCACUACUGCCACUACUACUACCACUACUACUACUACCACCACUACUACUACUACUACUACCACCACUACUACCACCACCACCACUAUCACUACUACCACUACUACUACCACUACUACCACCACUACUACUACUACCACUAUCACUACUACUACUGCUACUACUACAACCACUACUACUACUACUACUACUACUACUACUACUACCACCACUAUCACUAUCACUACUACCACUAAUACUACCACUACUACUACUACUACCACCACUUCUACUAAAACUACUGCCACUACCACCACUACUAUCACUAUCACUACUACUACCACUACUACUACCACCACUUCUACUAAUACCACUACCACUACUACCAUUACUAUUACUGCUACUACCACCACCACUACUACUUCCACUACCACUACUACUACUACUACUACUACCACCACCACCACUACUACUACUACUACCACUACUACUACUCUUACUGCUUCUAUUACUACUACUACCACCACAACUAACACCACCACCACCACCACCAAUCACCACUUCUACUUCUACUGUUACUACUGCAGUCACUACUGCUACUACUAUAACUUAUUUCACAACCAGAAAUACUUUAGGAGAAGAUAAUAAGCACACACAAAGUACUUUUCUAUUCUUAUUUUUCAAAAUGUAUUUAAUGUAAUUAGGGGAUAAACCUACUCAAAUAUAGAUUGGUAACCUUUUUUCUAAUUUGGCACACAAAAACUAAAGGCCAUGAGCAACUUGGUCUAAAAGAAUAGCACCGAUUGGCCUAUAGGUGGCGCUGUGAUAAGCAAUCUCACUUAAACCCUCAUAUCCGUCACUCCGUUUGACCUAAAGACUUGAAACUUUGUAUGUAAAUGUUUUUCCCCCACGCUGAACGAAUUUGCCUUCAGUAAGUAUUCACAACUCUUUAAAUUUUUUUCACAUUUUGUUGUAUUACAGCCUGAGAUCUUGUCUCACACACACACAAAACACAAUAAUGUUUGUCUGCUGGUUUCAAAACAACAGGAUGUUUGUUAAGGGCUCAAUUGACUACAAUAUACCACAUGCAACCUGUUGAAAGGUAGCCUGUAAUUUGCGUUCUUUAUCAUUAGUCCGUGAGGCAGCUUGCGCUAACUUAGAGGAUCAUAGAGCUAGCCAGCUUGCAAUCCUAAAAGCCGGAAAUGAGUUACCUUAGGUUUGUUCAGCCAUUCCUAUGGGGGAAAGAAUGGGGUUGGGAUGAACCCUUAAAAUAAGGUCCGUCAUUAACACAGGCUUAAGAGAUUUGAUACGUUUUGUUCUAUGAUAUAAUAUCAGUCAGUUACCAUGACCUUUAUGAAUUAUGAAGCCUUUAUGUGCUUGUUUUGAUUACAUAAAUGAUGUGGGAGUGCCCUGCAGUUAAAUGCUUCUGGGACAAAAUGUACAUUCAUUUAGAAAUGCAUGUGUCACGAUCACUGUCCUCGAACUCCCUGUCGUAAAUAAGCCAAGGCGCAGCAUACCCGUAAUUCCACAUACUUUAUUGAAGGAAAACCGAACAAAACAAAAAACAGGUAAAACAGAAAGAACCGUGACGCUCUGGGGCUGCUCAAAGGCAGCUGCACAAAAACAAGAUCCCACAACUCAAGGAGGGGAAAAGGGCUGCCUAAGUAUGGUUCCCAAUCAGAGACAACAAUAGACAGCUGCCUCUGAUUGGAAACCAUACCUGUCCAAAACAUAGAAAUAAAAUAUAUAGAAUGCCCACCCCAUAUCACACCAUGACCUAACUAAACAGAGAAUAACAGCUCUCUCAGGUCAGGGCGUGACAGCAUGAAUGUAAAUAUUCAAUGUGUUGCAUCUGCUAUGUUAACGAUGAUUGCUCCUUGAAUCUGGCAGUCAGCAAUGCUACAAAAAAAUAUGUUGGCUCUUAGAUAGCAAUCACCCCACUUUCUCCCAAUCCACUAGUUGAUAGUUACUAUUAGAAGUUACAAUUAUCAACAGCGAGAAUGAAUGCUGCUAGUCAAGAAACACUAUAGUCCUGUAGCCUCGCUGGUAGUUUAGUACACCUGGCUGCUCUGGUGAUCUGACUGGUUUGAGUCUCUAUGAUAGAGGGUUCUGGUGCUCUGACAGGUUUGAGUCUCUAUGACAGAGGGUUCUGGUGAUCUGACUGGUGUGAGUCUCUAUGAUAGAGGGUUCUGGUGCUCUGACAGGUUUGAGUCUCUAUGACAGAGGGUUCUGGUGAUCUGACUGGUUUGAGUCUCUAUGAUAGAGGGUUCUGGUGCUCUGACAGGUUUGAGUCUCUAUGAUAGAGGGUUCUGGUGAUCUGACUGGUUUGAGUCUCUAUGAUAGAGGGUUCUAGUGCUCUGACAGGUUUGAGUCUCUAUGACAAAGGGUUCUGGUGCUAUGACUGGUUUGAGUCUCUAUGAUAGAGGGUUCUGGUGAUCUGACUGGUGUGAGUCUCUAUGAUAGAGGGUUCCAGUGCUCUGACUGGUGUGAGUCUCUAUGAUAGAGGGUUCUAGUGCUCUGACUGGUGUGAGUCUCUAUGAUAGAGGGUUCUGGUGCUCUGACAGGUUUGAGUCUCUAUGAUAGAGGGUUCUGGUGAUCUGACUGGUGUGAGUCUCUAUGAUAGAGGGUUCCAGUGCUCUGACUGGUGUGAGUCUCUAUGAUAGAGGGUUCUAGUGCUCUGACAGGUUUGAGUCUCUAUGAUAGAGGGUUCUGGUGAUCUGACUGGUGUGAGUCUCUAUGAUAGAGGGUUCUAGUGCUCUGACUGGUUUGAGUGUUUAUGACAAAGGGUUCUGGUGCUCUGACUGGUUUGAGUCUCUUUGACAGAGGGUUCUAGUGCUCUGACUGGUUUGAGUCUCUAUGACAGAGGGUUCUAGUGCUCUGACUGGUUUGAGUCUCUAUGACAGAGGGUCCUGGGCCCAGAUUCACAAAACCUUCUUAAGAAGAAAUUUCUUCUUAACUGCAAUUUUUUCCUUAACUACAGAUUUAAGAAGAAAGUUAAGCAAAGUUGCUAUUCCUCAAAAGGAUUAUUGGAAAUGCUCUUGCGAUACUUCUUAUGUUUCUCCUCCUCUUUCUCCAGAGGGUUCUGGUGCUCUGUCAUUUGUCAUGUUUUGUCUGUGUUCUAUCUCUUUGUUUCUCCUCUUCGACCUCUCGGUCUGAAUCAGAGUCAGUGAUUGUGACUUCCUCUUGUCUCUGUUCCUGGCUGUUCUGUCAGGUCUGAGAUGCUUUCUGUUUCUGCGGUAGCGAGCUCCGACUGGUGUGAUGACAUCAACAGCAACUGCACCGCCUGCAACUGCAGUGCUCUGCAGAGAGUGGUGCGGUCUGCCCAACACGUCACCAGGGGCAAACUACCUGCCUUCCAGGACACCUACAGCACCCGUUGUCACAGGAAGGCCAAAAAGAUCAAGGACAACAACCACCCGAGCCACUGCCUGUGUUUAUUGUGCGUAUUGUUGUGAAUUGUUAGAUAUUACUGCACUGUUGGAGCUAGAAACACAAGCAUUUCACUACACCCGCAAUAACAUCUGCUAAACAUGUGCAUGUGACAAAUCAAAUUUGAUUGGAUUUCAUAUGAUCUCAGUUCAUCUCUGAUUCUCACUGUUGAUGGCUGCCAUCCUAUUGCCCUCUCCAUGCACACUCUCUCUCCCAGAAUGAAGGAAGUGGUGAUGCCAUUUUGUAGAAACAUGUCUUCUGCUGUGGCUGUCUGUGUUUCAGGCCAUGCUGGACAUUUUUGGGAGUCACUGGCUAAAGGGCUGCUUUAGUUGCAGAUAGGAUGGAGCGUAGGACACGUCCCAUGGGUAGCUGAGCAGGGGAGCACUGGACAGGUGUAUUUCUUAGGUUCAGGAGAGCUAUGUGAGGGUCAACACCUGUUUGUGCUGUGGAUCUCAGCAUGUUUUUCACUAACGGAAUAGUCUUCUCAGACAUUCCGUUUGACUGGGAAAGCCCUGUACUUGAAUUUGUGAUUUUCAAAUCCCACUCUUUUGCAAACUGAGCCAUCUCAGCACUUGCAAAGUGUACAUGGUCUGCAAUACCAUGUCUAGCAAACACCUCAUUCCACUUUGCUAUGACAGUACCUGAUGUCUUGUCCGACAGCCUCCUUUUGGUUGCUGGGAAGUUAUUUUUGACAAGAAGUGCACGACUUGAACAUCAUGCAUACAUCAUCAUUGAGGCCAUCAUUGAGAGCUCUUGCAUUCUCUAAACAAGCGUUGAAUGUCCUGAUGUGCAGUGUGGAGCCCUUUUAAGUACCUCAGCUCUAAAGUCUCUGGGAAUGAUAACGCAUUUGUUUACCAUGAGUAGUCCAUCUUCAAUGUAAAGAAAGUCUCUGAUAUGCCAGUAGGUCUGUGCUUUGAUUGGUGCACUUUUCCUGUCUAGCCAUCCAUCUCUGUGCAGGUUCCUCAGCAGCUGUAUCUCGCUGUCUGUGGCUGCUCUCAGCUGUUGCAUAACAGCGCCCUCCAGUGGAAGAUGUGUGGAAACGGCAUAACUUACUUUCUCAUCACGGAGGUCACACCAUGUCUGGCAGUCUAGGCUACAGGCCUGGAUAGCGUGUCUGCUAUUAACAUGUCUUUACCUGGGGUGUAGACGAUAUGAAUGUAUUAUUUCUGUCUUUGCAGCAGCAUCCUUUGAAGACGUGCAGGCGCCUUUUCAAUGGGCUUGGUGAUUAUAGCCUCAAGUGGUUUGUGGUCGGAUUGAACUCAGACCUGGAAAC
This 5345-nucleotide long non-coding RNA is filed under the name Salmo salar (Atlantic salmon). RNAcentral's name for it is "lncRNA (ENSSSAG00000087331.1)". The record is from RNAcentral. Lineage: Eukaryota; Metazoa; Chordata; Actinopteri; Salmoniformes; Salmonidae.